RNAcentral lists this ribosomal RNA (681 nucleotides) under Corynebacterium variabile. Its description in RNAcentral is "bacterial SSU rRNA". It matches the Rfam family "Bacterial small subunit ribosomal RNA", at positions 38 to 733 of the family's 1533-position model. Lineage: Bacteria; Bacillati; Actinomycetota; Actinomycetes; Mycobacteriales; Corynebacteriaceae. The record is from RNAcentral.
GGCGGCGUGCUUAACACAUGCAAGUCGAACGGAAAGGCCCUGCUUGCAGGGUACUCGAGUGGCGAACGGGUGAGUAACACGUGGGUGAUCUGCCCUGCACUUCGGGAUAAGCCUGGGAAACUGGGUCUAAUACCGGAUAGGACCAUCGUUUAGUGUCGGUGGUGGAAAGUUUUUCGGUGCAGGAUGAGCUCGCGGCCUAUCAGCUUGUUGGUGGGGUAAUGGCCUACCAAGGCGUCGACGGGUAGCCGGCCUGAGAGGGUGGACGGCCACAUUGGGACUGAGACACGGCCCAGACUCCUACGGGAGGCAGCAGUGGGGAAUAUUGCACAAUGGGCGCAAGCCUGAUGCAGCGACGCCGCGUGGGGGAUGAAGGCCUUCGGGUUGUAAACUCCUUUCAACCAUGACGAAGCAUUAUGUGACGGUAGUGGUAGAAGAAGCACCGGCUAACUACGUGCCAGCAGCCGCGGUAAUACGUAGGGUGCGAGCGUUGUCCGGAAUUACUGGGCGUAAAGAGCUCGUAGGUGGUUUGUCGCGUCGUCUGUGAAAUUCCGGGGCUUAACUCCGGGCGUGCAGGCGAUACGGGCAUAACUUGAGUGCUGUAGGGGAGACUGGAAUUCCUGGUGUAGCGGUGAAAUGCGCAGAUAUCAGGAGGAACACCGAUGGCGAAGGCAGGUCUCUGGG